CCUUCUUUAACCCAGUGCUCAUUGGGUGCCUCCUCUGGGCCAGACACAGGGGCCCGCGUCUGUGGUCCUCUCCGGAAGCAGUGUGUCUGUCGGGGAGCCGAGAUGAGAGGAAGCACAUGCCCAGCAUGGCCGGGGGCUCCCGGAGCCGUUACAAGCCCCCCAUCCACCACCCUGCAGACGGGAGGUUGUCCCCGCUGUGCAGAUGAGCAAGUUGAGGGGGAAAAUUGGACCAUGUGAAUCUGAUGCUCAGGGGGGAGAAAUCAACCCACAAAAAUUGUCAAGAUGGCUCUGCAAAGGACGAUCAUGAAGGAAGGUGAUUGACCAGAUAUUAAAGCUGAUUCCAAAGCUACGGCAAAUAAAUGCUAUACUCUUGGCAUGA
Molecule: long non-coding RNA, 379 nt
Organism: Felis catus (domestic cat)
Lineage: Eukaryota; Metazoa; Chordata; Mammalia; Carnivora; Felidae
Exons: 2
Source: RefSeq, a predicted model, not a curated record